AUUGAACGCUGGCGGCAGGCCUAACACAUGCAAGUCGAACGGUAACAGGAAACAGCUUGCUGUUUCGCUGACGAGUGGCGGAUGGGUGAGUAAUGUCUGGGAAACUGCCUGAUGGAGGGGGAUAACUACUGGAAACGGUAGCUAAUACCGCAUAACGUCGCAAGACAAAAGAGGGGGACCUUCGGGCCUCUUGCCAUCGGAUGUGCCCAGAUGGGAUUAGCUAGUAGGUGGGGUAACGGCUCACCUAGGCGACGAUCCCUAGCUGGUCUGAGAGGAUGACCAGCCACACUGGAACUGAGACACGGUCCAGACUCCUACGGGAGGCAGCAGUGGGGAAUAUUGCACAGUGGGCGCAAGCCUGAUGCAACCAUGCCGCGUGUAUGAAGAAGGCCUUCGGGUUGUAAAGUACUUUCAGCGGGGAGGAAGGGAGUAAAGUUAAUACCUUUACUCAUUGACGUUACCCGCAGAAGAAGCACCGGCUAACUCCGUG
This 490-nucleotide ribosomal RNA is filed under the name uncultured bacterium. RNAcentral's name for it is "partial 16S ribosomal RNA". It matches the Rfam family "Bacterial small subunit ribosomal RNA", at positions 30 to 507 of the family's 1533-position model. The record is from RNAcentral.